CGAACGCUGGCGGCGUGCUUACCACAUGCAAGUCGAACGGAAAGGCCCCUUUGGGGGUACUCGAGUGGCGAACGGGUGAGUAACACGUGAGUAACCUGCCCUUGACUUCGGGAUAACUUCAGGAAACUGGGGCUAAUACCGGAUAGGAAUCCUUGCUGCAUGGUGGGGGUUGGAAAGCUUCGGCGGUUUUGGAUGGACUCGCGGCUUAUCAGCUUGUUGGUGGGGUAGUGGCUUACCAAGGCUUUGACGGGUAGCCGGCCUGAGAGGGCGACCGGCCACAUUGGGACUGAGAUACGGCCCAGACUCCUACGGGAGGCAGCAGUGGGGAAUAUUGCACAAUGGGCGGAAGCCUGAUGCAGCAACGCCGCGGGCGGGAUGACGGCCUUCGGGUUGUAAACCGCUUUCAGCAGGGGCGAAGCUUGUGGUGACGGUACCUGCAGAAGAAGCACCGGCUAACUACGUG
This 463-nucleotide ribosomal RNA is filed under the name uncultured bacterium. RNAcentral describes it as "partial 16S ribosomal RNA". It matches the Rfam family "Bacterial small subunit ribosomal RNA", at positions 30 to 507 of the family's 1533-position model. The record is from RNAcentral.